GAUGAACGCUAGCGGCAGGCCUAAUACAUGCAAGUCGGACGGGAUUCAGGAGCUUGCUUCUGAUGAGAGUGGCGCACGGGUGCGUAACACGUAUGUAACCUACCUUUAUCAGGGGGAUAGCCUCUCGAAAGAGAGAUUAAACCCGCAUAAAAUCACAGCACAGCAUUGUGUAAUGAUCAAAUAUUUAUAGGAUAAAGAUGGGCAUGCGGAACAUUAGCUAGAUGGCGGGGUAACGGCCCACCAUGGCGACGAUGUUUAGGGGAUCUGAGAGGAUGGCCCCCCACACUGGUACUGAGACACGGACCAGACUCCUACGGGAGGCAGCAGUAAGGAAUAUUGAUCAAUGGGCGGAAGCCUGAACCAGCCAUGCCGCGUGCAGGAAGACGGCCCUACGGGUUGUAAACUGCUUUUAUACGGGAAUAAACCCAGAUACGUGUAUCUGGCUGAAUGUACUGUAAGAAUAAGGAUCGGCUAACUCCGUG
This 482-nucleotide ribosomal RNA is filed under the name uncultured bacterium. RNAcentral's name for it is "partial 16S ribosomal RNA". It matches the Rfam family "Bacterial small subunit ribosomal RNA", at positions 28 to 507 of the family's 1533-position model. The record is from RNAcentral.